This 427-nucleotide ribosomal RNA is filed under the name uncultured bacterium. RNAcentral describes it as "bacterial SSU rRNA". It matches the Rfam family "Bacterial small subunit ribosomal RNA", at positions 355 to 774 of the family's 1533-position model. The record is from RNAcentral.
UAGGGAAUCUUCCGCAAUGGACGAAAGUCUGACGGAGCAACGCCGCGUGAACGAUGAAGGCCUUCGGGUCGUAAAGUUCUGUUGUUAGGGAAGAACAAGUACGAGAGUAACUGCUCGUACCUUGACGGUACCUAACCAGAAAGCCACGGCUAACUACGUGCCAGCAGCCGCGGUAAUACGUAGGUGGCAAGCGUUGUCCGGAAUUAUUGGGCGUAAAGCGCGCGCAGGUGGUUCUUUAAGUCUGAUGUGAAAGCCCACGGCUCAACCGUGGAAGGUCAUUGGAAACUGGGGAACUUGAGUGCAGAAGAGGAAAGUGGAAUUCCAAGUGUAGCGGUGAAAUGCGUAGAUAUUUGGAGGAACACCAGUGGCGAAGGCGACUUUCUGGUCUGUAACUGACACUGAGGCGCGAAAGCGUGGGGAGCAAACA